GGAGACCUCCCAGAGGAGGCUGGCCUGCUCUGGCACCUGUGCGAGGGCCUGUAUGUGUGCAAGAGACAGCGAGAGAAUGAGAUAAUCUGUUUUUAAAGGGGCAGGCGCGUAAUCACUUUUAUUUAUAAUGGUUCCAACCUGGAAACGACCCAAGUGCCCAUCAAUGGUAGAACGGUUAAACUGUAGCAUAUUCAUGAUGGAAUCUACCCAGCAAUAAGAAAAGAAACUAUUGGUACACAGUGACAUGGAUGAGUCCAUCCAAUAUUAUGUUGCAUGAAAGAAGCCAGACCAAAGAGUGCAUGCUGUAGAAUUCCAGAGAGAUGGAGUUCAAGAACAGACACAAUUGAUGAUGAAGUCAGCAUAGAGGUCCCCAGCUGGGGGCUACAUGGACUAGGAAGGGGCAGGAGGCAGCUUUAUGUGAUGCGGAGAAUGUUCUCUAUCUGCUUUGAGUGGUGGUUAUACAGUUGUGUACAUAUUUAAACAAUCAUCAAGCUGUAUACUUAAAAUGAGUGUAAAAAUCCUUGGAAAGAACAUGCAUGCUUAUUUUCAUUUUUUGCAGACUGCACCCCCACACAGGCUGGAACUAUUGGUACCAUGUUGCAGUGACCAAGACAUCACUCUACCUAAUGACAUCGCAUGUGUCGCUGUUUGUUCUGUCCCGACUUCUGCACCACAUCCUCCUAUCCCUACUACUCCAGGCCCUUAGGUCUUUUUCUCAGACCUAGAAAAGGCCACAACCUCAUCACAUCUAGACUGCUGGCCCAGCCUUCAGUCCCGCAGCUCCAUUCCAUCUGUAAAGGCAUCGGAUUCCUCUGCUCAGACUCCUUCAAGGGCACCCCCAUCCACUACCAACUGCAGCCAAACUCCUCAGCUUCACGAUCUGGCCCCUGUGCUCUUGCCAAUUUGAAACUGGAAAGUGGCCUGGCUGUUUCACUUGCAUGUCCUUGAUUGUGAUGGCUGGACAGUUUUUCACACAUACACUGGCCAUUUCUAUCUCUUUGGUAACUUGCCUGUGCACUACUUUGCUCAUUUUCAUACUGAACAUUCAUAUUUUCUUAUCGAUUUACAAAAGCUUUUAAUAUUAUUGAUCCUGUGUCAUUUAUAUACCUCAAAUAUUUUUCUCAAGUGUGUUGAUUGGCUUUUACUUUUGUUUAUGGUCUUUAUUGAUAUACUAGAGUUUUAAAUUAUGCCGCCGUAAAAUCGGAUUUUGUUAUUAUGCUUAGGAAAUCUCUCCCUACCCAGAGAUUAUAAACAGUUACAUAUGUUUUCUUUCGAUACUUGUGAUUUCCUUUUUUUAAAAUUCCAGAAUAUUUUUUAGAAUUAAGGGCUUUAAACAAAUAGCCCUAAUACCAUAGACUGACAAUGACUUGGUAGUAUUAAAUACUUUAGGCUGUAUGAUUUCCUUUUUCCUUUUGGAUUUUUUUUUGUUUGUUUGUUUUUAGAAACAGGGUCUCACUAUGUUGCCCAGGCCGGUCAGAAAGUGCUAGGCUCAAAUGAUCCACCCACCUCAACCUCCCAAAGUGCUGGGAUUAUAGGCCUGAACCAUUGCAUCUGGCCUACAUUUGGAUUUUUUUUUUCUUUUUUUUUUUGGAAACGGAGUAUCGCUCUGUCGCCCAGGCUGGAGUACAAUGGUGCGAUCUCAGCUCACUGCAGUCACUGCAAUCUCUGCCUCCUGGG
Molecule: long non-coding RNA, 1677 nt
Filed under: Homo sapiens (human)
Lineage: Eukaryota; Metazoa; Chordata; Mammalia; Primates; Hominidae
Description: HSALNT0034010
Source: RNAcentral